RNAcentral lists this ribosomal RNA (253 nucleotides) under uncultured bacterium. RNAcentral describes it as "partial 16S ribosomal RNA". It matches the Rfam family "Bacterial small subunit ribosomal RNA", at positions 524 to 776 of the family's 1533-position model. The record is from RNAcentral.
UACGAAGGGGGCUAGCGUUGCUCGGAAUCACUGGGCGUAAAGCGCACGUAGGCGGAUCAUUAAGUCAGGGGUGAAAGCCUGGGGCUCAACUCCAGAACUGCCCUUGAUACUGAUGAUCUUGAGUCCGGAAGAGGUUGGUGGAACUCCGAGUGUAGAGGUGAAAUUCGUAGAUAUUCGGAAGAACACCAGUGGCGAAGGCGGCCAACUGGUCCGGUACUGACGCUGAGGUGCGAAAGCGUGGGGAGCAAACAGG